RNAcentral lists this ribosomal RNA (773 nucleotides) under uncultured Neocallimastigales. Its description in RNAcentral is "partial large subunit ribosomal RNA". It matches the Rfam family "Eukaryotic large subunit ribosomal RNA", at positions 24 to 642 of the family's 3401-position model. Lineage: Eukaryota; Fungi; Neocallimastigomycota; Neocallimastigomycetes; Neocallimastigales. The record is from RNAcentral.
UAUGUGAUCGUCUCUCGCAUAUCAAUAAGCGGAGGAAAAGAAACUAACAAGGAUUCCCCUAGUAACGGCGAGUGAAGCGGGAAGAGCUCAAAUUUGAAAUCUUAAAGGGUUUCCCUUUACGAAUUGUAGUUUAAAGAAGUGUUUUCUGUUGAGGUUUUGGUAAAAGUUCUUUGGAAUAGGACAUCAUAGAGGGUGAGAAUCCCGUAUUUGACCUUUACUUUCAACUUUGUGAUACACUUUCAAAGAGUCGGAUUGUUUGGGAAUGCAGUCCAAAAUGGGUGGUAAAUUUCAUCUAAAGCUAAAUAUUGGCGAGAGACCGAUAGCGAACAAGUACCGUGAGGGAAAGAUGAAAAGAACUUUGAAAAGAGAGUUAAACAGUACGUGAAAUUGUCAAAAGGGAAGCGUUUGACACCAGUGUUGUUUUUCUGAAAAUCAAUUAAAGAACUGUUUAUGCUAAGUUGUUUAGACUUUAUCAGCUAACUGUUUAGUUUUGAGCUUUUCUUUAAUGCACUUUUCAGUUAACAAGUCAACAUCAAUUUCUUUUGCUGUAAAAAAGCUUGAGGAAGGUGGCUUGAGAUUCGUCUUAAGUGUUUAUAGCCUCUUGCCUAUGCAGUCGGAGAGAUUGAGGUCUGCAGCGUAGAUCCUUCGGGGCUAAAUGCAUUUGUGCUAAGUUAUAGCAUUUUAUAGACAACUUGUUGACUAUGAUUUGUCUUGUAGCUUACUCGCUUAUGUUAUUUUACCUACGCUUAGGAUGUUGAACGCGCACAGAGUCU